GAUGAACGCUGGCGGUGUGCCUAAUACAUGCAAGUCGAGCGAACGGACGAGAAGCUUGCUUCUCUGAUGUUAGCGGCGGACGGGUGAGUAACACGUGGAUAACCUACUUAUAAGACUGGGAUAACUUCGGGAAACCGGAGCUAAUACCGGAUAAUAUUUUGAACCGCAUGGUUCAAAAGUGAAAGACGGUCUUGCUGUCACUUAUAGAUGGAUCCGCGCUGCAUUAGCUAGUUGGUAAGGUAACGGCUUACCAAGGCAACGAUGCAUAGCCGACCUGAGAGGGUGAUCGGCCACACUGGAACUGAGACACGGUCCAGACUCCUACGGGAGGCAGCAGUAGGGAAUCUUCCGCAAUGGGCGAAAGCCUGACGGAGCAACGCCGCGUGAGUGAUGAAGGUCUUCGGAUCGUAAAACUCUGUUAUUAGGGAAGAACAUAUGUGUAAGUAACUGUGCACAUCUUGACGGUACCUAAUCAGAAAGCCACGGCUAACUACGUG
Molecule: ribosomal RNA, 497 nt
Filed under: uncultured bacterium
Lineage: Bacteria
Description: partial 16S ribosomal RNA
Rfam family: Bacterial small subunit ribosomal RNA
Source: RNAcentral